GCCGGCACCUGCCGUGGCCAUGGCCGGGGGACACCGCUCCGUUUCAUUUGAGAGUUUGAGAUCUGACAAAUCGAAGAUAAAAGACACUAAAAACAAAUUGAAGUUCUUCCUGAAAUAACAUCCCAUGAAUGAGUUAUGGUUGCUCGAUUGCUUGGUUGCUGCACGAUUGAUUGCUUGCUGCCUGCAGGAGCAACAAUGAACAGACAGACCUGCCGCUUGCCUACAAAUUGCAGAUCGACGACACGCAGGAGACUCACCCUGGCAGGUGAGCGGCGCAGGGGUAGGGAGGCCACCGGCCGUGGCGGACAGCGCAGCCUGGGCGGGCACUGGAGACGCGGCUUGCGGGUGACGGCGGUGUGGAGGCUAGCCCCGACGUGGCCAUGGUGAGCGCCUGAGCGGCGCACGGGGCAUUGAGGCCACCGGCGGGCGGCGGCAGUGCGGAACGGCGAGCGAAGGCAGCGCGACCUAUCGAGCGACGGCGGCGCGGCCUCGAUGGGCCCACGAGUGGUGGCGCCAGAGGCCGGUCCCGG
RNAcentral lists this long non-coding RNA (530 nucleotides) under Setaria italica (foxtail millet). RNAcentral's name for it is "long non-coding RNA (SITA_LNC006444)". Lineage: Eukaryota; Viridiplantae; Streptophyta; Magnoliopsida; Poales; Poaceae. The record is from RNAcentral.